CUGGUCUCAAACUCCUAACCUCAAGUGAUCCACCCACCUUGGCCUCCCAAAGUGCUGGGAUUAUAGGCAUGAGCCACCACGCCCAGCCCCCCAGAAGCAUUUUAUAUAUUUAUUAUUAUUAUUACUUUAAUAGAGACAGAGUCUUACUUCGUUGCCCAGACUGCUCUCAAACUCCUGGGCUCAAGCAGUGAUCCCCCUGCCUUGGCCUCCCAAAGUGCUGGGAUUAUAGGCAUGAACCAUUGUACCAAGCCUAGCAGUAUUUUGAAUAAUUCCCAAGCAUGCUAGCUGAAUGACAGAUUUAAGGAAUUUCUUUGAUUCGCUUUGUUCUUUACAAAUAUAUUUCCCAUUUGUUUUGAUUAUUGUUAACUAGGAAGACUUGCUUGUCAGCACGUUGUGAGGUUGUUUUUACAUAUAAAGGAAUGAAUUGUGAAUGGUAGUGAGUUCUAAGCUGUUAGUUUGUGGCUGCUCCAGCUUUUAUCUAAAAUUAUGUUUCUUUUCUGAUUUGUUCCCAACGUCAUUAUGUUAAGGGUAGGAUAAGGGAAACUUCAACAUUUGACAAAGACUCUCCUUUGACCAAAACCUCAGUCAGGCUCCUCUGAGUCCUCCCUGCACUAGGCUCGACCUUGGGCUUCUCUUUCUGUCCUUAUUAAAUCCAGUUUGAGCAAGAAUCCUGACAAAUUGGUUUAGUGAAAAGUCUUCCACACUUAUAUCUGUCCAGCCUCCACAUCUUAUCACGCUGAUCUGCCUUUAGCAAUAAUCCUAUCAAGUUGGUUUAGCCAGAAACCUCUUAUCCUUCAUGUUUCUUCUUAGCAAUUUUCCACCCACUCCCAACUUGCUCCUUGGUGAUAAAUCCUCACUCAUCCUUGUUGGAGACAGAGUUGAGUCCAAUCUCUCUCCCCGACUGUGAGACCCCAUUGCAAUGGUCCCUAUACCUAUCACCAUGGCUCCCUUUGAAUAAAGUCUGCCUUAUAAUCUUUAAUAGCAUCAUGAAUAAUUUUUCUGUAAUAAUUUUAUCACAAAUAUUACAUUGCAAAUUAAGUAUGUACAUAACUUAUGAAAAUAGGACAAAAGGCCGGGCACAGUGGCUCACGCCUGUAAUCCCAGCACUUUGGGAGGCUGAGGCGGGUGGAUUACCUGAGGUCAGGAAUUCGAGACCAGCCUGGCCAACAUGGUGAAAUCCCAUCUCUCCUAAAAAUACAAAAAAUUAGCUGGACGUGGUGGCAGGCACCUGUAAUCCCAGCAACUUGGGAGGCUGAGGCAGGAGAAUCGCUUGCACCCAGGAGGCAGAGGUUGCACUGAGCCAAGAUCAGGCCACUGCACUCCAGCCUGGGCAACAAGAGUAAAACUCCAUCUCAAAGAAAAAAAGAAAAUAGGAUAAAAAUGGAUGAGAUGAUUGUUGGAAUACCUAUUUUGUUGAGUAUUUUCUCUGGUGAUUAUUUUCAUAUAUAUAUAUAUAUAUAUAUAUAUAUAUAUACAUAUAUAAAACAUGAUGCUUUGUAGUAAGAUUCUAAUGAAUGUCAUAAAAAUGCUCAUGUGUGGUCAUAUCGACAUCCACCUUUAUGGGGAGAAUUUAGUGAUUUCUAUUGUUCUUACAACCAUCAUUGCACACUUAACAGAAUCUGAAAGCUAGAAGUUUCCUUAAAAAUCAUCAUCAUUUCAGAAAAAUAACAGAUGCUGGUAAGGAUUCAGAGAAAAGGGAACUCUCAUACACUGCGGUUGGAAUGUAAAUUAGUACAGACAUUAUGGAGAACAGUAUGGAGAUUUCUCAAAAAACUAAAAAUAGAACUACCAAACGAUACCGCAAUCCCACUACUGGGCAUAUAACCAAAGGAAAGGAAAUCACAAUUUCAAAGGGAUACAUGCAUCCCCAUGUUUAUUGCAGCAUUAUUCACAACAGUGUCCAUCAUCAGAAGAAUGGAUAAGGAAAAUGUGGCAUAUUUACACAAUGGAAUAUUUUUCAGCCAUAAAAAAGAAUGAAAUCAUGUCAUUUGCAGCCACAUGGACGGAACUGGAGGUCAUUAUAUUAAGUGAAAUAAGCCAGACACAAAAAGACAAGUAUCACAUGCACUCACUGGUGUGGAAGCUAAAAAAGCUGAUCUCAUAGAGGUACAGAGUAGAAUGAUAGUUACCAGAGUCUGGGAAGGAUGUUGAGGGUUAGGACAAACAAUGGCUAAUUAAUGGGUACAAAC
This 2189-nucleotide long non-coding RNA is filed under the name Homo sapiens (human). RNAcentral describes it as "non-protein coding lnc-PPP4R3A-7:1". Lineage: Eukaryota; Metazoa; Chordata; Mammalia; Primates; Hominidae. The record is from RNAcentral.